RNAcentral lists this ribosomal RNA (492 nucleotides) under uncultured bacterium. RNAcentral's name for it is "partial 16S ribosomal RNA". It matches the Rfam family "Bacterial small subunit ribosomal RNA", at positions 29 to 507 of the family's 1533-position model. The record is from RNAcentral.
AGUGAACGCUGGCGGUAGACCUAACACAUGCAAGUCGAACGGCAGCACAGUAAGAGCUUGCUCUUACGGGUGGCGAGUGGCGGACGGGUGAGGAAUACAUCGGAAUCUACUUUUUCGUGGGGGAUAACGUAGGGAAACUUACGCUAAUACCGCAUACGACCUACGGGUGAAAGCAGGGGAUCUUCGGACCUUGCGCGAUUGAAUGAGCCGAUGUCGGAUUAGCUAGUUGGCGGGGUAAAGGCCCACCAAGGCGACGAUCCGUAGCUGGUCUGAGAGGAUGAUAGGCCACACUGGAACUGAGACACGGUCCAGACUCCUACGGGAGGCAGCAGUGGGGAAUAUUGGACAAUGGGCGCAAGCCUGAUCCAGCCAUACAGCGUGGGUGAAGAAGGCCUUCGGGUUGUAAAGCCCUUUUGUUGGGAAAGAAAAGCAGCAGGUUAAUACCCCGCUGUUCUGACGGUACCCAAAGAAUAAGCACCGGCUAACUUCGUG